Molecule: long non-coding RNA, 1211 nt
Organism: Dreissena polymorpha
Lineage: Eukaryota; Metazoa; Mollusca; Bivalvia; Myida; Dreissenidae
Exons: 3
Source: RefSeq, a predicted model, not a curated record
CCGUCAACAUUUUGUUUGUGUAGACAGUAGAGGUAACAGUUUUUGUCCAAUCUUUAUGAAAUUUGGUCAGAAUGUUUAUCUUGAUGAAAUCUGGGUUGGGAUUGUAUUUGGGUCAUCUGGGGUCAAAAACUAGGUCACUAGGUCAAAAACUAGGUCACAUAAUAGGUCAUAUAAUAGAAAAACCUUGUGUAGACAAUAGAGGUCGCAGUUUUCAUCCAAUCUUUAUGAAAUUUGGUCAGAAUGUUUAUCUUGAUGAAAUCUGGGUUGGGAUCGUAUUUGGGUCAUCUGGUGUCAAAAACUAGGUCACUAGGUCAAAAACUAGGUCAAAUAAUAGAAAAACCUUGUGUAGACAGUAGAGGUCACAGUUUUCAUCCAAUCUUUAUGAAAUUUGGUCCGAAUGUUUAUCUUGAUGAAAUCUGGGUUUAUCUUGAUGAAAUCUGGGUUGGGAUUGUAUUUGGGUCAUCUGGGGUCAAAAACUAGGUCUCUAGGUCAAAAACGAGGUCAAAUAGUAGAAAAACCUUGUGUAGACAGUAGAGGUCACAGUUUUCAUCCAAUCUUUAUGAAAUUUGGUCAGAAUGUUUAUCUUGAUAAAAUCUGGGUUGGGAUUGUAUUUGGGUCAUCUGGGGUCAAAAACUAGGUCACUAGGUCAAAUAAUAGAAAAACCGUCAACAAUUUGUUUGUGUAGACAGUAGAGGUCACAGUUUUCAUCCAAUCUUUAUGAAAUUUGGUCAGAAUGUUUAUCUUGAUGAAAUCUGGGUUGGGAUUGUUUUUGGGUCAUCUGGGGUCAAAAACUAGGUCACUAAGUCAAAAACUAGGUCACUAGGUCAAAUAAUAGAAAAACAUUGUAUAGACAAUAGAGGUCACAGUUUUCAUCCAAUCUUUAUGAAAUUUGGUCAGAAUGUUUAUCUUGAUGAAAUCUGGGUUGGGAUUGUAUUUGGGUCAUCUGGGGUCAAAAACUAGGUCACUAGGUCAAAUAAUAGAAAAACCUUGUGUUGACAAUAGAGGUCACAGUUUUCAUCUAAUCUUUAUGAAAUUUGGUCAGAAUGUUUACCUUGAUGAAUUCUGAGUGGGGAUUGUAUUUGGUUAGUCAGGUGAGCGAUUCAGGGCCAUCAUGGCCCUGUUGUCAAAUAUUUUAUCUGUAUUUAAAUUAUUGUCAUAAACUGGGUUUCAUUUAUUACAGAUUUAUAGUUAGCUCAACUAUUCACCGAAUA